Molecule: ribosomal RNA, 301 nt
Filed under: uncultured bacterium
Lineage: Bacteria
Description: partial 16S ribosomal RNA
Rfam family: Bacterial small subunit ribosomal RNA
Source: RNAcentral
CAGCCGCCGCGGGAAUACGAAGGGUGCAAGCGUUAAUCGGAAUUACUGGGCGUAAAGCGUGCGUAGGCGGUUUGUUAAGUCUGCUGUGAAAUCCCCGGGCUCAACCUGGGAAUGGCAGUGGAUACUGGCAAGCUAGAGUGUGUCAGAGGAUGGUGGAAUUCCCGGUGUAGCGGUGAAAUGCGUAGAGAUCGGGAGGAACAUCAGUGGCGAAGGCGGCCAUCUGGGACAACACUGACGCUGAGGCACGAAAGCGUGGGGAGCAAACAGGAUUAGAUACCCGUGUAGUCCCUGUCUCUUAUAU